This 432-nucleotide ribosomal RNA is filed under the name uncultured bacterium. Its description in RNAcentral is "partial 16S ribosomal RNA". It matches the Rfam family "Bacterial small subunit ribosomal RNA", at positions 338 to 795 of the family's 1533-position model. The record is from RNAcentral.
CCUACGGGAGGCAGCAGUGGGGGAUCUUGCGCAAUGCGCGAAAGCGUGACGCAGCGACGCCGCGUGGGGGAUGAAGGCCUUCGGGUUGUAAACCCCUUUCGGCAGGGACGCGGUACCUGCAGAAGAAGUCCCGGCUAACUACGUGCCAGCAGCCGCGGUAACACGUAGGGGACGAGCGUUGUCCGGAUUCAUUGGGCGUAAAGCGCGCGUAGGCGGCUCGGAAAGUCGGGCGUGAAAUGCCGGGGCUCAACCCCGGGACUGCGUCCGAUACUUCCGAGCUGGAGGUAGGUAGGGGAGAUCGGAAUUCCUGGUGUAGCGGUGAAAUGCGCAGAUAUCAGGAGGAACACCGGUGGCGAAGGCGGAUCUCUGGGCCUUCCUGACGCUGAGGCGCGAAAGCUAGGGGAGCGAACAGGAUUAGAUACCCUUGUAGUC